Molecule: signal recognition particle RNA, 301 nt
Filed under: Zostera marina
Lineage: Eukaryota; Viridiplantae; Streptophyta; Magnoliopsida; Alismatales; Zosteraceae
Description: Plant signal recognition particle RNA
Rfam family: Plant signal recognition particle RNA
Source: Rfam by way of RNAcentral
GCUGAGCUAUGUAACGUGAGCUUGUUACCAAGUGGGGCAUUAAGGUGUUUGAAUAAUUUGGUACUGAAUCUAAGGUUGGCUUGUGAGCUAUCUUUGGCCUGUCCGUUUCCAAGUUGGGUAGUGAACCUUAUGUUAUAAGCUAAUGCUUGAAACAUAUUGUUCUUAAAAUUGAGGACAAUGCGUGAGGCUGGCUUCACAGAGCAGCGAUUACCUCAUGUUCUCAACGAUGGAAGGAUAACAGGUUAAUGGUUCACUUUGUCAAUUAGCCUUGGAAUCCAAACCAAAUUGGACAAACAUUUUU